This 304-nucleotide ribosomal RNA is filed under the name uncultured Spirochaetaceae bacterium. RNAcentral's name for it is "bacterial SSU rRNA". It matches the Rfam family "Bacterial small subunit ribosomal RNA", at positions 1077 to 1382 of the family's 1533-position model. Lineage: Bacteria; Pseudomonadati; Spirochaetota; Spirochaetia; Spirochaetales; Spirochaetaceae. The record is from RNAcentral.
GGGUUAAGUCCCGCAACGAGCGCAACCCUACUGCCAGUUACUACAGGUGAAGCUGAGGACUCUGGCGGAACUGCCGGUGACAAACCGGAGGAAGGUGGGAUGACGUCAAGUCAUCAUGGCCCUUAUGUCCAGGGCUACACACGUGCUACAAUGGGUGAGACAGAGUGACGCGAAGCCGCGAGGUGGAGCAAAUCGACAGAAAAUCAUCCGUAGUUCGGAUUGGAGUCUGAAACCCGACUCCAUGAAGGUGGAAUCGCUAGUAAUCGCGCGUCAGCAUGGCGCGGUGAAUACGUUCCCGGGCCUU